Molecule: ribosomal RNA, 1199 nt
Filed under: Napier grass stunt phytoplasma
Lineage: Bacteria; Bacillati; Mycoplasmatota; Mollicutes; Acholeplasmatales; Acholeplasmataceae
Description: bacterial SSU rRNA
Rfam family: Bacterial small subunit ribosomal RNA
Source: RNAcentral
GACGUCUUUUAAUUUUUUGAAGACCUUUUUCGAAAGGUAUGCUUAAAGAGGGGCUUGCGACACAUUAGUUAGUUGGUAGGGGUAAAAGCCUACCAAGACUAUGAUGUGUAGCUGGACUGAGAGGUCGAACAGCCACAUUGGGACUGAGACACGGCCCAAACUCCUACGGGAGGCAGCAGUAGGGAAUUUUCGGCAAUGGAGGAAACUCUGACCGAGCAACGCCGCGUGAACGAUGAAGUAUUUCGGUAUGUAAAGUUCUUUUAUUGAAGAAGAAAAAAUAGUGGAAAAACUAUAUUGACGCUAUUCAAUGAAUAAGCCCCGGCAAACUAUGUGCCAGCAGCCGCGGUAAUACAUAGGGGGCAAGCGUUAUCCGGAAUUAUUGGGCGUAAAGGGUGCGUAGGCGGUUUAAUAAGUCUGUAGUUUAAUUUCAGUGCUUAACACUGUCCUGCUAUAGAAACUAUUAGACUAGAGUGAGAUAGAGGUAAGCGGAAUUCCAUGUGUAGCGGUAAAAUGCGUAAAUAUAUGGAGGAACACCAGAGGCGUAGGCGGCUUACUGGGUCUUUACUGACGCUGAGGCACGAAAGCGUGGGGAGCAAACAGGAUUAGAUACCCUGGUAGUCCACGCCGUAAACGAUGAGUACUAAGUGUCGGGGAAACUCGGUACUGAAGUUAACACAUUAAGUACUCCGCCUGAGUAGUACGUACGCAAGUAUGAAACUUAAAGGAAUUGACGGGACUCCGCACAAGCGGUGGAUCAUGUUGUUUAAUUCGAAGAUACACGAAAAACCUUACCAGGUCUUGACAUACUCUGCAAAGCUAUAGCAAUAUAGUGGAGGUUAUCAGGGAUACAGGUGGUGCAUGGUUGUCGUCAGCUCGUGUCGUGAGAUGUUAGGUUAAGUCCUAAAACGAGCGCAACCCUUAUCGUUAGUUACCAGCAUGUUAUGAUGGGGACUUUAACGAGACUGCCAAUGAAAAAUUGGAGGAAGGUGAGGAUCACGUCAAAUCAUCAUGCCCCUUAUGAUCUGGGCUACAAACGUGAUACAAUGGCUGUUACAAAGAGUAGCUAAAACGCGAGUUUAUAGCCAAUCUCAAAAAAACAGUCUCAGUUCGGAUUGAAGUCUGCAACUCGACUUCAUGAAGUUGGAAUCGCUAGUAAUCGCGAAUCAGCAUGUCGCGGUGAAUACGUUCUCGGGGUUUGU